Molecule: transfer RNA, 72 nt
Filed under: Bos taurus (domestic cattle)
Lineage: Eukaryota; Metazoa; Chordata; Mammalia; Artiodactyla; Bovidae
Also listed under: 2 other names
Rfam family: tRNA
About the family: Transfer RNA (tRNA) molecules are approximately 80 nucleotides in length. Their secondary structure includes four short double-helical elements and three loops (D, anti-codon, and T loops). Further hydrogen bonds mediate the characteristic L-shaped molecular structure. tRNAs have two regions of fundamental functional importance: the anti-codon, which is responsible for specific mRNA codon recognition, and the 3' end, to which the tRNAs corresponding amino acid is attached (by aminoacyl-tRNA synthetases). tRNAs cope with the degeneracy of the genetic code in two manners: having more than one tRNA (with a specific anti-codon) for a particular amino acid; and 'wobble' base-pairing, i.e. permitting non-standard base-pairing at the 3rd anti-codon position.
Source: Rfam by way of RNAcentral
UCCCUGGUGGCUCAGUUGGUAAAGAAUCUGCCUGCAAUGCAGGAGACCCGGGUUCGAUUCCUGGGUUGGGAA